UAAAUGCAGAGAUUGUGUGUAUCGGCUUAGUGCGAUGUAAUGCGCUUUGUACGAAAGAUUUCUCUGCGACAUUAAUUUGGGGCAGAUGGGCAGUUGUGAUUCAAUGUCAAUUGAAUAGCUCAACAAUCAUCUUCCCCACAAUUCGUUUGAUUCAACUUUACUCUAAUUGUAUUAGUUAGAUUAGAUAUACAUUUUGACGGGGAAAUUUGUGAAUUUAGCAAUUGUUGCAAGUUAUCUGUGAUGUUUUGAACUUAUAAUGAUCUACUUGAACUUCAACACCAC
Molecule: small RNA, 282 nt
Filed under: Arabidopsis thaliana (thale cress)
Lineage: Eukaryota; Viridiplantae; Streptophyta; Magnoliopsida; Brassicales; Brassicaceae
Description: ATSL127920
Rfam family: small nucleolar RNA snoR135 (bases 3-143)
Source: RNAcentral